GGGGCAGUAGCUCAGCUGGGAGAGCGCUACAAUCGCAAUGUAGAGGUCGGGGGUUCGAAUCCCCCCUGCUCCACCA
Molecule: transfer RNA, 76 nt
Filed under: Thermoanaerobaculum aquaticum
Lineage: Bacteria; Pseudomonadati; Acidobacteriota; Thermoanaerobaculia; Thermoanaerobaculales; Thermoanaerobaculaceae
Also listed under: 6 other names
Description: tRNA-Ala
Rfam family: tRNA
About the family: Transfer RNA (tRNA) molecules are approximately 80 nucleotides in length. Their secondary structure includes four short double-helical elements and three loops (D, anti-codon, and T loops). Further hydrogen bonds mediate the characteristic L-shaped molecular structure. tRNAs have two regions of fundamental functional importance: the anti-codon, which is responsible for specific mRNA codon recognition, and the 3' end, to which the tRNAs corresponding amino acid is attached (by aminoacyl-tRNA synthetases). tRNAs cope with the degeneracy of the genetic code in two manners: having more than one tRNA (with a specific anti-codon) for a particular amino acid; and 'wobble' base-pairing, i.e. permitting non-standard base-pairing at the 3rd anti-codon position.
Source: RNAcentral